GCUGGAUUCGCUAGUAAUCGCGCAUCAGCCAUGGCGCGGUGAAUACGUUCCCGGGCCUUGUACACACCGCCCGUCAAGCCAUGGGAGCCGGGGGUGCUUGAAGUGCGUCGCCGCGAGGCGCGCCCUAGAGCAAAACCGGUGACUGGGGCUAAGUCGUAACAAGGUAUC
Molecule: ribosomal RNA, 168 nt
Filed under: uncultured bacterium
Lineage: Bacteria
Description: partial 16S ribosomal RNA
Rfam family: Bacterial small subunit ribosomal RNA
Source: RNAcentral